CACCAGGGGCACCGGAAGGCAGCUCUUUCUUGAUUCGAUGGGAGGUGGUGCAUGACCGUUCGUAGUUGGUGGAGCGAUUUGUCUGGUUAAUUCCGGUAACGAACGAGACCCUAGCCUGCUAAAUAGGCGUCGUCAUUUCGGUGUGCAUGGCAUCGGUCAAGCAACUCACUGACAACGUAUUAAAAUUAUUUUCAAAGGAACUGGCUGUUUUGAGCCGCUAAGAGGGUUUAUUCCCGUUGUCCACGUUGACCUU
Molecule: non-coding RNA, 253 nt
Filed under: Operophtera brumata (winter moth)
Lineage: Eukaryota; Metazoa; Arthropoda; Insecta; Lepidoptera; Geometridae
Description: Eukaryotic small subunit ribosomal RNA
Rfam family: Eukaryotic small subunit ribosomal RNA
Source: Rfam by way of RNAcentral